RNAcentral lists this unclassified non-coding RNA (334 nucleotides) under soil metagenome. RNAcentral's name for it is "partial contains 5.8S ribosomal RNA, internal transcribed spacer 2, and large subunit ribosomal RNA". The stretch from base 1 to 120 matches the Rfam family "5.8S ribosomal RNA", at positions 35 to 154 of the family's 154-position model. The record is from RNAcentral.
GAUGAAGAACGUAGCGAAAUGCGAUACGUAAUGUGAAUUGCAGAAUUCAGUGAAUCAUCGAAUCUUUGAACGCACAUUGCGCCCGCCAGCACUCUGGCGGGCAUGCCUGUUCGAGCGUCAUUUCAACCAUCAAGCCCCAGGCUUGUGUUGGAGCCCUGCGGCUGCCGCAGCCUCCUAAAAGCAGUGGCGGGCUCGCUAUCACACCGAGUGCAGUAGAUUUCUCUUCGCUCAGGGCGUGUGGCGGGUUCCGGCCGUGAACCCCCCUACUCUUUAAGGUUGACCUCGGAUCAGGUAGGAAUACCCGCUGAACUUAAGCAUAUCAAUAAGCGGAGGA